AGGGCUUGACAUCCUACUAACGAGGUAGAGAUACGUUAGGUGCCCUUCGGGGAAAGUAGAGACAGGUGGUGCAUGGUUGUCGUCAGCUCGUGUCGUGAGAUGUUGGGUUAAGUCCCGCAACGAGCGCAACCCUUAUUGUUAGUUGCUACGCAAGAGCACUCUAGCGAGACUGCCGUUGACAAAACGGAGGAAGGUGGGGACGACGUCAAAUCAUCAUGCCCUUUAUGUCCUGGGCUACACACGUAAUACAAUGGCGGUCAACAGAGGGAUGCAAUACCGUGAGGUGGAGCGAACCCCUAAAAGCCGUCCCAGUUCAGAUCGCAGUCUGCAACCCGACUGCGUGAAGUCGGAAUCGCUAGUAAUCGCGGAUCAGCAUGCCGCGGUGAAUACGUUCCCGGGCC
This 401-nucleotide ribosomal RNA is filed under the name uncultured bacterium. RNAcentral describes it as "bacterial SSU rRNA". It matches the Rfam family "Bacterial small subunit ribosomal RNA", at positions 976 to 1380 of the family's 1533-position model. The record is from RNAcentral.